UGGGGAAUUUUGGACAAUGGGGGCAACCCUGAUCCAGCGACGCCGCGUGGAGGAUGAAGGUCUUCGGAUUGUAAACUCCUUUUAGGGGGACGGAAUGUCCUGAUGAAGAAUCAGGAGUGACUGGUACCCCGGAAUAAGCCACGGCUAACUUCGUGCCAGCAGCCGCGGUAAUACGAAGGUGGCAAGCGUUACUCGGAAUUACUAGGCGUAAAGCGCAGGUAGGCGGUUCGAUAAGUCUUUUGUGAAAGCUCCCGGCUUAACUGGGAGAGGUCAAGGGAUACUAUUGGACUAGAGUGUGGUAGAGGAUGCUGGAAUUCCCGGUGUAGCGGUGAAAUGCGUAGAGAUCGGGAGGAAUACCUAUGGCGAAAGCAGGCAUCUGGGCCAUCACUGACGCUGAGCUGCGAAAGCUAGGGGAGCAAACAGGAUUAGAUACCCCCGUAGUCCCUGAGCGGGCUGGCAAGGCGCAU
This 467-nucleotide ribosomal RNA is filed under the name uncultured bacterium. Its description in RNAcentral is "bacterial SSU rRNA". It matches the Rfam family "Bacterial small subunit ribosomal RNA", at positions 355 to 825 of the family's 1533-position model. The record is from RNAcentral.